Non-coding RNA from Oryza barthii, 203 nucleotides. The record is from Rfam. NCBI's taxonomy places the organism in Eukaryota, Viridiplantae, Streptophyta, Magnoliopsida, Poales, Poaceae.
AAAAAGGUAAACCCUAAAUUUCCGUGCCAACGUUUGACUGUCUGUCUUAUAUGAAAUUUUUUUAUAAUUAGUAUUUUCAUUGUUAUUAUAUGAUAAAACAUGAUUAAUAUUUUAUGCGUGACUUAUUUUUUAAUUUUUUUUAUAAUUUUUUAAAUAAGACGGACAGUCAAACAUUGGACACGGAAAUCAGGGUUUGUCUUUUU